RNAcentral lists this long non-coding RNA (670 nucleotides) under Chloebia gouldiae (Gouldian finch). RNAcentral's name for it is "Erythrura gouldiae (Gouldian finch) lncRNA (ENSEGOG00005011747.1)". The record is from RNAcentral. Lineage: Eukaryota; Metazoa; Chordata; Aves; Passeriformes; Passeridae.
GCCGGGGGUCCCCCCUAUAAAUACAGAGCAAAAAAAACCCAAAAAUUUGGGAAUUUCCCAAAAUUCCAGAGGGUCCGGCCGGCCCCAGGCCCGAAUUUUUGGGAUGUUAGAAAAAAAUCCCUGAAAUCCUCCCAGGGAAUUCCGGGAAUUUCGGAAAUUUUGAGAGAAAUUUGGGGGAUUUGGGGAAUUUUGGGAGGAUUUUUAGCAAUUUUGAGGUGGAUUUUUGGGGGGGAUUUUUGGGAAUUUUGAGGUGGAUUUCAAGGGGGAUUUUGGGAGGAUUUUGGGAAUUUCGGGAGGAUUUUUGGAAAUCUUGAGGGGGAUUUUUUUUGAAUUUCAAAGCAGAUUUCGAGAAGGAUUUUGGGAGGAUUUUGAGGGAGAUUUUUGGGAAUUUUGGGGGGAUUCCGAGGAGGAUUUUGAGGGGGAUUUUGGGAAUUCAGAGGAGGAUUUCGUGGUGGAUUUUGGGAGGAUCUGGUGUGGAUUUUUGGGAAUUUCGGGAGGAUUUCAAGGUGGAUUUUUGGGAAUUCCGAGGAGGAUUUCGUGGCGGAUUUUGGGAGGAUUUCAAGGCGGAUUUUUGGGAAUUUCGGGGGGGAUUUUGGGAGGAUCUGGUGCGGAUUUUUGGGAAUUUCGGGGUGGAUUUUGGGGGCGCUCAGCCCUCCCCCCCCGGGAACAA